Molecule: microRNA precursor, 99 nt
Organism: Aotus nancymaae (Ma's night monkey)
Lineage: Eukaryota; Metazoa; Chordata; Mammalia; Primates; Aotidae
Source: Ensembl
GAGGUGGGAGGAUUGCUUGAGCUCAAGAGGUUGAGGCUUCAGUGAGCUAUGUUCAUACCACUGCACUCCAGCCUGAGUGACAGAGUAAGACUCUGUCUC